Molecule: ribosomal RNA, 440 nt
Filed under: uncultured bacterium
Lineage: Bacteria
Description: partial 16S ribosomal RNA
Rfam family: Bacterial small subunit ribosomal RNA
Source: RNAcentral
CCUACGGGGGACUGUAGUGGGGAAUAUUGCACAAUGGGGGAAACCCUGAUGCAGCGACGCCGCGUGAGUGAAGAAGUAUUUCGGUACGUAAAGCUCUAUCAGCAGGGAAGAAAAUGACGGUACCUGACUAAGAAGCCCCGGCUAACUACGUGCCAGCAGCCGCGGUAAUACGUAGGGGGCAAGCGUUAUCCGGAUUUACUGGGUGUAAAGGGAGCGUAGACGGCAGCGCAAGUCUGGAGUGAAAUCCCAUGGCUUAACCAUGGAACUGCUUUGGAAACUGUGCAGCUAGAGUGCAGGAGAGGUAAGCGGAAUUCCUAGUGUAGCGGUGAAAUGCGUAGAUAUUAGGAGGAACACCAGUGGCGAAGGCGGCUUACUGGACUGUAACUGACGUUGAGGCUCGAAAGCGUGGGGAGCAAACAGGAUUAGAUACCCUUGUAGUC